RNAcentral lists this transfer RNA (72 nucleotides) under Camelus bactrianus (Bactrian camel). It matches the Rfam family "tRNA". From Rfam's summary of the family: Transfer RNA (tRNA) molecules are approximately 80 nucleotides in length. Lineage: Eukaryota; Metazoa; Chordata; Mammalia; Artiodactyla; Camelidae. The record is from Rfam by way of RNAcentral. RNAcentral also lists the same sequence under 1 other name.
GAGGGCAUAGCUCAAUGGCAGAGCACAUGCUUACCAAGCCCUGGGUCCUGGGUUCAAGCCCCAGUACCUCCU